Molecule: unclassified non-coding RNA, 177 nt
Filed under: uncultured fungus
Lineage: Eukaryota; Fungi
Description: sequence contains ITS1, 5.8S rRNA gene
Source: RNAcentral
CCGAGUGCGGGCCCUCGUGGCCCAACCUCCCACCCUUGUCUCUAUACACCUGUUGCUUUGGCGGGCCCACCGGGGCCACCUGGUCGCCGGGGGACAUCUGUCCCCGGGCCCGCGCCCGCCGAAGCGCUCUGUGAACCCUGAUGAAGAUGGGCUGUCUGAGUACUAUGAAAAUUGUCA